This 505-nucleotide ribosomal RNA is filed under the name uncultured bacterium. Its description in RNAcentral is "partial 16S ribosomal RNA". It matches the Rfam family "Bacterial small subunit ribosomal RNA", at positions 28 to 523 of the family's 1533-position model. The record is from RNAcentral.
GAUGAACGCUAGCUACAGGCUUAACACAUGCAAGUCGAGGGGUAACGAGAGGAAAGCUUGCUUUCCUUGUCGACGACCGGCGCACGGGUGAGUAACGCGUAUCCAACCUGCCCCCAACUAAGGAAUAACCUUGCGAAAGUAAGACUAAUACCUUAUAAUUUCCUCAGAUGUCAUCUGACGAGGAAUAAAGAUUUAUCGGUUGUGGAUGGGGAUGCGUCUGAUUAGCUUGUUGGCGGGGUAACGGCCCACCAAGGCAACGAUCAGUAGGGGUUCUGAGAGGAAGGUCCCCACAUUGGGACUGAGACACGGUCCAAACUCCUACGGGAGGCAGCAGUGAGGAAUAUUGGUCAAUGGGCGGAAGCCUGAACCAGCCAAGUAGCGUGCAGGAUGACGGCCCUAUGGGUUGUAAACUGCUUUUAUACAGGAAUAAAGUUAGCCACGUGUGGUUAUUUGUAGGUACUGUAUGAAUAAGGACCGGCUAAUUCCGUGCCAGCAGCCGCGGUAA